AAGUCGAACGAAGUAGCAAUACUUAGUGGCAGACGGGUGAGUAACAUGUGGGUAUCUGCCCUUUGGCCUGGAAUAACACGAGGAAACUUGUGCUAAUACCGGAUAAGUCUUUACGGAGAAAGCUUUAUGCACCAUUGGAUGAGCCCGCACUUGAUUAGUUUGUUGGUGGGGUAAUGGCCUACCAAGACUGUGAUCAAUAGCUGAUUUGAGAGGAUGAUCAGCCACAUUGGGACUGAGACACGGCCCAAACUCCUACGGGAGGCAGCAGUGGGGAAUCUUGCACAAUGGAGGAAACUCUGAUGCAGCGAUGCCGCGUGAGUGAAGAAGGCCUUUGGGUUGUAAAGCUCUUUCGUCGGGGAAGAAAAUGACUGUACCCGAAUAAGAAGGUCCGGCUAACUUCGUGCCAGCAGCCGCGGUAAUACGAAGGGACCUAGCGUAGUUCGGAAUUACUGGGCUUAAAGAGUUCGUAGGUGGUUGAAAAAGUUGGUGGUGAAAUCCCAGAGCUUAACUCUGGAACUGCCAUCAAAACUUUUCAGCUAGAGUAUGAUAGAGGAAAGCAGAAUUUCUAGUGUAGAGGUGAAAUUCGUAGAUAUUAGAAAGAAUACCAAUUGCGAAGGCAGCUUUCUGGAUCAUUACUGACACUGAGGAACGAAAGCAUGGGUAGCGAAGAGGAUUAGAUACCCUCGUAGUCCAUGCCGUAAACGAUGUGUGUUAGACGUUGGAAAUUUAUUUUCAGUGUCGCAGCGAAAGCGAUAAACACACCGCCUGGGGAGUACGACCGCAAGGUUAAAACUCAAAUGAAUUGACGGGGACCCGCACAAGUAGUGGAGCAUGUGGUUUAAUUCGAAGAUACGCGCAGAACCUUACCAACACUUGACAUGUUCGUCGCGACUUUAAGAGAUUAAAGUUUCGGUUCGGCCGGACGAAACACAGGUGCUGCAUGGCUGUCGUCAGCUCGUGUCGUGAGAUGUUGGGUUAAGUCCCGCAACG
RNAcentral lists this ribosomal RNA (990 nucleotides) under uncultured marine bacterium. RNAcentral's name for it is "bacterial SSU rRNA". It matches the Rfam family "Bacterial small subunit ribosomal RNA", at positions 59 to 1094 of the family's 1533-position model. The record is from RNAcentral.